Molecule: transfer-messenger RNA, 356 nt
Filed under: Nitriliruptorales bacterium
Lineage: Bacteria; Bacillati; Actinomycetota; Nitriliruptoria; Nitriliruptorales
Rfam family: transfer-messenger RNA
About the family: Bacterial tmRNA, also known as 10Sa RNA or SsrA, is named for its dual tRNA and mRNA-like properties.
Source: RNAcentral
GGGGGUGACUGGCUUCGACGGGUGUCGGUCGGUCCCGGGAGAGCGAGCCGAGUAUCCCGGUCAACUCGCAAAUCUGUCCGGGAACCUUAUAGGUGCCGAAGACAACUUCGCACUGGCGGCCUAACUAGGCUUCCCGUCCGCCCUCGCCACCGCCUGAGGUGAGGGGUCGGGCGUCGCAAUCAGGCUCCACCCGCCGGCCAUCGCCACCCUGCCGGCGCGGGACACCUGCGUGGCGUACGGCUGCCGGGCGCCUGGUCCCGAGGCGCGGCAGCCCGACAAACCAUCGGGACCUACGCUCGUAGCGCUUCCGGAAUCGAGGCACUCGGACCCGGGUUCGAAUCCCGGCACCUCCACUC